GAGCAGAUGGCCCCAUUACCAUCUCAUCAAACCUCAAGUGUCAUAUUGAUGUGAUCGAUAUGUUUCACCAAUACACCUCCCUUUUCAUCCCCCCAACCUCCUCAUCUUUAGAUUCAUUCCAUUAUUACCAAACUUAUCAAAAAUAACUCCACACUCUUUGUUGAUCUAAUUAUAUAUGUCAGUUGAUAGAGGAAAGGAGCCUGCUGAACAUGGAUCAUCAGGGGAUCCACCACCUUCUCCCAGCCGCUACGAGUCUCAAAAACGAAGAGACUGGAAUACCUUCGGACAAUACCUGAGGAACCUAAGGCCUCCUGUGCACAUCUUUCAGUGCAACAGCAACCAUGUGCUUGAGUUCCUCAGGUACUUGGAUCAAUUUGGAAAGACUAAAGUUCACUUGCAAGGCUGUAUCUUUUAUGGGCAGCCUGAGCCACCGGCUCCUUGCGCCUGUCCACUUAGACAGGCUUGGGGAAGCCUUGACUCCCUCAUAGGCCGGCUUCGAGCAGCCUAUGAGGAAAAUGGAGGGUCACCCGAAUCGAACCCUUUUGCUACGAGUGUGAUUCGGGUUUACCUUAGAGAAGUGAAGGAAUGUCAAGCAAAAGCUAGAGGAAUCCCUUAUAAAAAGAAGAAGAAAGCUACAAAGGGAGGAGAAGACUCUAGUUCCACAUGAGUGAAUCUAUUCUCUUGGAGUCUUGGUUGCAUAAACAGUAAAGACCUAGAGUAGUAGGCUGUCAUCAGGAAAAAGGAUACACCAAGAUAAAACACACCAGGUGAUGACAUUAUGCUUUUUUCAUUCUUGGAUUGGUUGGACUGGUCAUUCGAGUUUAUCUCUAUUUGUCAUUGUAAUAUCAUCCUUGAUUAAUUUAGAUAGUAAUGGUGAUUUAUAUCAGCCUUGAUUGAUUUAGAUAGUAA
RNA transcript from Helianthus annuus (common sunflower), 909 nucleotides. It is a transcript of the gene named protein LIGHT-DEPENDENT SHORT HYPOCOTYLS 10, with no coding region annotated. Lineage: Eukaryota; Viridiplantae; Streptophyta; Magnoliopsida; Asterales; Asteraceae. The record is from RefSeq and is a predicted model, not a curated record. The transcript is spliced from 3 exons.